Non-coding RNA from Arachis ipaensis, 346 nucleotides. The record is from RefSeq and is a predicted model, not a curated record. Lineage: Eukaryota; Viridiplantae; Streptophyta; Magnoliopsida; Fabales; Fabaceae.
CGCUGCUAGAGCUUGCCAUUCUCCUGUCCUCACUUUCGGCUUCUACGAUUACUUCCUGUGUUUCAUCGGUGCCGUUUUCGACGCCAAGGGUGCGGAUUCAUUUCUCUCUUUUGAAAAGUUCUGCUGCAAUCUCCCCAGACCUCUUCUUCAGAUCAUAUAUGAUUAAUGUGAAUGAAGAACACUAGGUUGAGUUGAAUUGAAUUGAAUCAUGGAUAAGAGCAUGUUAGCUGGUUUGGAAUCAUUUGCUUUUGCUAACUUUGCCAAUCCACUAUGCUUUCUUUACUCUCUUGAUUUAUUACACUGAUCUAAUGUUCUCAAUGUUCUGUAGAUUCUAUGAAAUUUAGCA